GGUUGGUUCCCGGGUGACGCACCCCAGAAUCAGGGUCUCUCCUCUCUGGUUCCUGGCGCGUCACCCUAGAACCGCA
Myotis brandtii (Brandt's bat) is the source of this 76-nucleotide non-coding RNA. The record is from Rfam. NCBI's taxonomy places the organism in Eukaryota, Metazoa, Chordata, Mammalia, Chiroptera, Vespertilionidae.